RNAcentral lists this long non-coding RNA (1480 nucleotides) under Mus musculus (house mouse). Its description in RNAcentral is "RNA imprinted and accumulated in nucleus". The record is from RNAcentral. Lineage: Eukaryota; Metazoa; Chordata; Mammalia; Rodentia; Muridae.
GUCAGUAAAUGUAAAUAAAAAUUGACUAGGAAGUCAUUUAAUCAAAAGGCAGCUCACAAAGAAGACUACAUAUAUGUAUAUAUGUAUAUAUGUAAGAAGAAAGUGUGACAGAGUAAUGACCAUGGAGGUGAGGGAUAAGAUGAAAUGAGCAGAAGCAGGCAGAAUACAUAGAUAAGCGAACGGAACAUCAAUCUCUUUAUAACCUCUUCUGUCUAUACUUCAAGAAUGGAUAUCCUGCAAGUCGGCUUCGUAGAGUCUCCCUUGAAAGUGGACCUCAUGAUCUAGCCUUUAUGUCCGUGGAUUGACACUGUGAUGGAUUCCCCCCAAGUUCAUUUAGAUAUUCUCUCUUAUUCAUAAAUGUCACGGUCAGCUCUGUUCUUAUAGAUACCAGAAUGGAUACCCCUAAGCUGAUGUAUAUACACCCUUCCUCGGUUGUGAGAUUCCUGCUCUGGUGGUUGUAGUCAUAAGAUAUACAUCGUUGCGUACACCUUGGUUGUGGGCACGCACACUACUGUUGAAUUACCACCUUGUCCAAGUGGAUGGAUGCCCUCAAUGGGAUUGGCACUUUCUCCAUUGCUCCUGCACUCUGUUAUCAGCACUUCGGGUUCAUAAUGUACACACAGCAAUGGAUUUUCUGCAGCUGAUUUUCUAUAUUCUGUUUUCUUCGGGUAAGCAGAAACAGAUGCCUUCCUCACUGGUCACCAGGUUCAAGGUCCCUCAUAUGUGUCAGGUGCAUAGUCACCAACGUAAGUCGAAGUUCUUGGUUUGAAUUCUUUCUUCUGUUUUUAUAAAGGCAUUUCCUAGAAUUUAAAGACCAUUGGUCUAGGGAGAAGUAUGCUGUGGCCAUGAAAUGCUUGGUUGACUAAUUAAUAUUAUUGAAAUUAAGUUUAAUUUAAGCAGACAUAAUAACCUUAGGCAAAGGAGCUAAAAUAUUUAUGUAAAUUAUAAUUAAAGAUGUUUUUCAUGAUUAAUAAUAAUCAGCUAAUAAACAAUAAUAAUGAAAGUUUAUCGGAGAAACCAGAGGCGGAGGUUGGAUCAGUGGUGACAUCUUGUUGGAGGUGAGCAGUGGAGCAGGAGAACAGGUCCGGAAGUCUGAGUCCCAUCCCUUACAGGCAUCUCCUGUGCUUUCCUCCGAGGUGUGCUCAAACAAGCAUGUUACCUUUCCGAUUGUGAAAGUGUGAAAAUUAUGUAAUGUGUACAUUAGAACAAAGCCGGUCAGCAGUGUUGAGCAUGAGACUCUUGCCAACUGAGACACAGUAAUAAUCCAGGAAACCAUGUGCAUUUAGAAAUAAAUAAGUACAAAUUACAAUAAAAGUUAAGCAAACAAUAACAAGAGAAAUGAAUUUCUUAAUGAUACUACUAGCUAAGGACAAUGCAUUUACCAAAAAUAAUGGCAAGUCCUUGUCUUGUUCAGGGCUUAAGCAUUUAUUAUUGCCUUGUCAAGUCAACAAACCUAAGAGAAUUUUGCUCCUGCCCAUGU